This 455-nucleotide ribosomal RNA is filed under the name uncultured bacterium. RNAcentral's name for it is "bacterial SSU rRNA". It matches the Rfam family "Bacterial small subunit ribosomal RNA", at positions 30 to 474 of the family's 1533-position model. The record is from RNAcentral.
AUUGAACGCUGGCGGCAUGCUUUACACAUGCAAGUCGAACGGCAGCACGGGUGCUUGCACCUGGUGGCGAGUGGCGAACGGGUGAGUAAUAUAUCGGAACGUACCCGGAAAUGGGGGAUAACGUAGCGAAAGUUACGCUAAUACCGCAUAUGCCCUGAGGGGGAAAGCGGGGGAUUCGUAAGAACCUCGCGUUUUCGGAGCGGCCGAUAUCGGAUUAGCUAGUAGGUGAGGUAAAGGCUCACCUAGGCGACGAUCCGUAGCUGGUCUGAGAGGACGACCAGCCACACUGGAACUGAGACACGGUCCAGACUCCUACGGGAGGCAGCAGUGGGGAAUUUUGGACAAUGGGCGCAAGCCUGAUCCAGCCAUGCCGCGUGAGUGAAGAAGGCCUUCGGGUUGUAAAGCUCUUUCAGCCGGAAAGAAAACGCACAAGUUAAUACCCUGUGUGGAUGACG